Molecule: long non-coding RNA, 20487 nt
Organism: Gallus gallus (chicken)
Lineage: Eukaryota; Metazoa; Chordata; Aves; Galliformes; Phasianidae
Source: Ensembl
CUUUUUCAUCAGGUGACUCCUAAAACUACAGUUGGUAGUGUAGACCUAAUUAAUGGGAGGGAAUGGUUGUCACAAGGUAUUAUUAGGACUGUGUCCUGAAGGCUGUAGUUAAGCCUGCACUAUUUCUCAGAGUUGACUGUGCGUAUUUCUGUUUCACUAUUUUUUCUGGAACAGGCAAGCUGCUCUUCUACCAUUUCCCCCCGGCUAUUGUGCUGCAAGUACUAUUGGUCUUGCAAGCAGCUGUUAGCUACGUUGGUUUAUCUUUUAAUUCAGUAGCAUAACUCCUUGGUAAUCCUGUUCAAGUAAAUAGGAGUAGUUAUCUGCUGUUCUUCUUGGUGUUGGUUAUCCAGAUUUUGCCUUCUAGGCCAAAUGCUAGAACGUACUUGGAGAGCUUUUUGUUAAAGCUGUCAUAACCCCAUCCUACAGUUAGCAAAGCAAGGUGAUCGUUUGGGGAGUAUGACACUUUCUCCUGCUUACGUCACUUUACUUAAACAUAUCUUAAUUUUAGUAAUGCAGUGAUACUGCAACAAUGUUCCAGCAGCUCUACCCACUUUAGUAAGUUAGUGAGAAUAUUCAGGCAGCACUCAGGGCCUGUUCUGUUCACUUUAAUGGCUCUGCUACCUAGUCUGAUCAGAACUAUAGGCCUACAUCGCAAACUUUCCACUUGACUAAUGCUCACAUCCUUACAGUAUAUUUUGUAAGUAGCACAGCACAAAGUAAGCAGAGAUCAAACUGUCUGUAGCUGCUCCUAUCUAGAUGUGACUUGCUGGAAGGUACUUCUGCUUGUCUUUAAGUGCUGCAUAAUGCAUGGAUUUGUCCAAUAGGCAGCCUGUGUAUUUGACAGGAAGUGUCUUAUGCUUCUCCUUUUUGCUUGAAUAGCGUUGAACAGCAAUUAUACACUGAUUGUGCUCAUUACAAGUAAAUUCCACAUCCUGUUUAGAAUAGGAUGUACAUAUGAACAAGUACAAAACAUCUGUUGCAUCUUCCUAGAAAUAGCAUCUUGCAAACUUAGAUAUUUCAGCUUCACAGCUGUUCAGAAGCUGUUCUGUAUUUAAAAUUCAAAGCCUUUAAAGGUUGUAUGAAAUAACAGUUUAAAAUAAGUCGCUUUUUCUUUUUUUUUCCCCAGUAUGAUGUAAAAAUACUGUUCUGGAGUUGAUGCUUCCUGCCCUUCUGGGUCAUCAGUCUGUUCAGUGGUGUUCUCCACUCCAUACAGACUAUCAGAGUUAAAAAACAAACAAACCUGGACUGGUUGUUGAAAAGUCCAGUAGAUUUUUCUGUUUCUGCACCUUUCUAAAACCCUACAUUGAGUCUGAUUUUUGGAUGUGCCCACUUGGCCUUGGAGCAAAUAAGAGGUUUUACAACUGUUCAGAAACUCUUUUACUGUAGCUCUUAAGAUGGAAUCUUGCUCUACUUGUCAUACGAUAAAUAAUGAGAUGCUUUGUUGAACUCAGUUGUUUUUCCUUUACAUUUGUUUAACAUGCGAGCAUUGAGACUUAGGUUUUUUUGACAGUUCAGUUAAGCAAGAACAUGUCUGACUUGUGUUAUUUGUUACAAGCUCCCUUGAUGUGGAAUAUUCCCUGUUCAGAGGAGACUCCUGGCCUUCUUGUCUUUUGCAGGAAAGAAAGGAUGAAAUGCAUUCUCUUGCAAGCAGACUUUAAAAAUGUCAGGUAUCCAUUAAAUCUGGUUAAACAAACUGUUCUUCAGUGCAUGAAAGAUGAAAGGGUCAAAAGCCAGCAUAUCAAUACAUGUGGAUGGCCGUGCUUACAAAUAUUUACAGACUACCGAAGGGAGGAUGGUGAGUGAAGGCUUCUACAGGUUAAGGCAUCUGUUUAGAGGAAAGAGUAAAAGUAGAGAUGGGUUGAAGCAAAGAGUGUAUUCCCAGUGCUAACUGGAGGUGUUUUUAAAAAACAAACAACAAAAAAGAGCACCUGAGUGAAAUUUGUCUGUAUUGGGCAGAAAAUGAGCAGGCCUAACCUGUACUUCUUGAACAGCAUACAACUUUUAAGUACCUUCAGGCUAUGUCUAGAGUCAAUUGUAGAAUUGAUUAGAACAGAGGUAUUGUAUGCAAGUGCAGAGUUUUAAAUGACUGAAAGUUUGGAGGAGAAUCUUCUCUGUAUGGAAAACAUCCCUAUUUCAAACACUUGUGCUGCAUUGUGCAUCACAUGAUUGCUGGUUGUUGUGUAAUAGGAAAGCAUGGGUAGUUUUUUUGUUUUUUUGUUUCUUCCAUUCAUCUUAGGGAGCUUGUGAAGGGAAACAUAGAGUGGGGUUGUUUUUAGCUAUAAUUUCCUUUCUUCUGGGAGCUCAUAUCUGAACUGUCAUGGAUUUCUAGCACUUAAUCUGCCAGGUGGAAUACCUUGGUUUCCUGCCUAUAUAGGCAAUUUAAGUAUGCUCUGGGGGUAGUGGGCAACUUGAAGCCCUCUUUCCAUGAGGUGAGGAGAAUGUUUAUUGAUGGUUUCCUUCCCUAGUUUUCUGCGUGGGUGCAGCUAGGUGUGCUUCGCUGUGCCAUGGGGUUAGCACAUAAGAUCUACUUAAGCUCAAGUUUAAGGGCUCUUAAUUUCAAAACUUAAGAUAGUUUUGUUGGCAUUUGAAUGAUAGUGUGAGUUAUUUCUAAACAUCAAAGGAAAGUAACCAUGCUGGAGACUUAAGUUCGUCAAAGAGCUGCAAUUUUACAUCCAAAUUCCCACUUGUCAGCCAGACUAAUGCAAAAUCAGCUUGCAUAUUUCCUGUGCAGUGAAUGGAUAGUGUGAAGUACAUAAGCCUGGAAACCAGCUGAAUGGAAAGGAGGAAGAUUGGCCAAGAGUAAACAAAAAGAGGUGUUGAGUUGUAUCUGUGUUUUACUUUGAGUGCUGUUUUGAAGCUAGAUGUUCAUACCAAACUCAACUUUGUCCAGCUUUUUGCAAUGGCAGAUGUUCUAACCAGAUCAGUGGCCUUGUUACAUGGAGAUGGGAUGAUGAAGCCUCUAAGUAAGCCCUGAAAUAUUGUGCAUGUUCUGCAUCACCUAAAAUUGUCUGUAGGAUAUAAGCAGUCACUUUUUCUUUACUAGUCACAGUUUGUAGGAAUUUAGCUUAUGCUUAUGGGUAGAAGUCAUGGAAAAUGUGUUCAGCGGCAGCAAACUGUAUGUGUUCUUUUCAGUCUUUUUCACUCACACUGUUUGCAUUUACUUUGAGUUUUCUCUAGGAUGUGGUACCCAGCAUAAAUACAAAGGUGUUUGUUUUCUUUCUCUUCCCAUGUGGAAUAGAAACUGUUAAAACUGCUGAUUUUUUUCCCUUCAGUGCAAGAGGUGCCUGAAAGGUGAAAGUCAGUGCUUGAUUCCACAAGUCCGAGUCCUGUCAUCUGUACUUGCUGCUUAACUGACUUCUCAGAUACGAACAGAAAAAAAGAGCUGUAGUUUAAAAAUAUAACAACAAGCUCAUUUCUGCCCUCUGAAAGUAAACUUUCCUGGGACAACCUCCUGAUCUGUUUGGAAAAUGAGAAAAAGAUUCUGGGCAAAAAGCAAGGCUUCUGUGAUUGUUUGCCCGGAGUGUAAAUAUUUCAUGCUUCUCUGAAUGCUUGUGUGGCCUAAAUCUUGCAGCACUGCCAUCUCAGCUAUUCUUAGGUUUGGGGACCAGGAGAAGUGCUCGUUUCCUGUCUUCCCCUCCCCCAGAAUCUCAGUUACCUUGAACAAGGAGGAAAAACGCAACCCGCAGCUGCUUUAUCAGUUCCAGCUGAAGAAUGAUGCCAGUCUGUCCUCACCUGUUGUGGAAGGAGUAGGACAGCAUAGCAGUUACACUGCAGCACUCUACCUAUUUUCUUUUCCAGGAAUGCAAAGGCAUUGCACUUCUCAACUAAUAUUAGAAUGCAGCUUAUCUGAGAGUUAUACGUGGCUUCUCCAAAGUGUGGUUAUUACAACUCAUAACUAGAUCUACUUCUCUGAUUGCCGUCUUUGGAACUUUGAUGCUGUGCACAGGCCUGAGCAACGUGAGAAAUCAGUGAAACAGAGUGUCAUAGUACCCCUUAGUGUAGUGUGAAUGUAUGUAGGUAACAGCCAUUAGUGUCUGUCAGCUGCUGCUUCUCAUCCAUAGUUACAAAUUACUUGUACACGUAGGAGCGAUUUAUAGGUACAGGUAGCAGCGCCUGUUUAGUCUCUGCAAUGUCAAACUGCUUCCCUACUUAAAAAAACAGCACACAAACAAAAAAGCCUCCACCAACAACCAUACAAAUCUUAAUUGCCAGCUUGAGCCAUAGCAGUAUGAGGAAGUCCAUGGUAGCCCCUCUGGUUUUCUCCUAAGGGAGAAAUUUAAAACAAAAGAAAACAUAUCCUCUGUCUGUAGUUGCUGUUUUGAAAAGUAAAAUAGCAUAACGACAGUUCUCUUGCUGCAUACGUUUAUUGGCAGUGGUACAUGGGUGUUAAAAGUGGGGAGAGAAGAGUCUGGGGUAUUGUGUUGAUCUCGCAUUUGCAGUCAAAGUGUAUGUACCCUUGAUAUAAAUAAUCUCUCUUCCUGACAAAUCGAUCUGCAGCAAUCCACCUAAGGUGUGAAGCUUCUUGGUGCUGCAGAAUGUGUGCAGAAGUGGCCUGGAAUCACUUGGGCAAGAGGCAGAUAGAUAGUAGCUUUGGCAUGGAGAAGAGUCCCCGUGUGUGGAGCAUAGCUGGAAGCAGGAGGCUUGUCCUAGCAUGCUCCUCCUGCAGCUUCUGACUGUCACUAGUGGAUAUAAGGGAUCUUUCAUUUCAGUGUUAGGUGUAUUUUGCACGGUGUACUUUCCUCUUACGUAGCAGUGGUGGUCAUGCUCUAUUUGCGGGUGUUGGUUUGCAGUUUCAUUUGGGGUUUUGUUUCACUUAAAGUUUGGUUGUGAAAACUGGAUAGAUCUCAGCUGCUGGCUGUAAUUCUUUCUGCUGAAGUAAAAACGUAAUAAUGCUAGCAUUAGCUGCUUUAGCUAUGAGAAGAGGAUACAGACUGAGAAAAUGUUGAACUUCAGGAGAAAAAUGUCUGCUUCCAGAAAGACUUACAGCCUGUUGCAUCACUGCUUAGGCACAGACAGUAAAGCCUUAAUCCUCCGGUGUCUGAUUCAUGCUAAUUCAGUGUUAAAGAGGCACAGCGCUGUGGUCACUUGGCUACUGAGAUUCUUGAGCCGUUCUGCUUUGCUCAGAUAAAUUCCUAAAUUGUGCAUGAAAACCAAGAAGUUUGUUGCUAAUUGAAUGCUUUCUACAGGCUUGUGAUUUUAGUUUGCAGUUUGUGCAAAGUAGUUUUAAUGUCUUUAUGGUAAUGUUAUAAGAAGUUAGUAAUAAGGUAGCAACUGUGUGAACACCUAUGAAGUGUGAUGCGAGUAUUGACUACCACUAUUGAAAAGAUAUAAAGGAAACAUUGAACAGUGCAUGUGCUACAGCAGUAAAUAAAUCACCUGAAGGACAGUAACUUAAGUCAACAUAUGUUCCUUUUAAGCUGUAGGAUCUGCUACUGCAUGCGAGUCUGUGGGUACUGAAAGGUCUGUAUGUAAGUGGAACUGGUAACACUACCCAUGUUCUCAGCUUUUUAGCUUCCCAGAAAUCUUAAUGAUGAAGUUACAGGUGCUGCGUUUUGUUCUCAAAGGCAGUAGAAUCCGAGCAGGGGAAAUCAUGCUCCAUUCUUGUUUACAUGCUGUAGAAUAAAGGCUCUUGCUUGUGAGAGCUUACCGAAUGUUUUCCAGGCUGUGAUCCUUUCAUGGGAAAGGAGUGUAUCUAAGUAGUGGGUGGGGUUUAAGAAGCUUUUGUUUCAAAAUGAGCCUUUCACAAUUCUUGAUGCUGGUCAGAUUAUACAUACCUCAGCUGUAUGAAAUAGAUGCAACUUAGCCAUGUGUAACAAAGCCUUUUCACACGUAUCUCUUGCAGGCUGGGAAUAGCAUUAACUAGAUCUAGAAGAGACUUGAGUGAAUUCUUCAUAUAAUGCGCGCUCAAGGCUACUCUAAGCUGAAUGUAUGAGUGUGUGCUGCUGCUGUUAAUCGCCUCUAAUUGCAGUAAUGUUUAGGCAAGAAAAGAAGCCACUUGGUUCAAAGGAGCUUUUUGAUGGAAGGUCAACAAUAAUAAGCAGGAAACUAAGUGGUGGGUUCACAUAUACGCAUAACAAAUAAGGGUGAAGGACUGCAUUAAUAAGGGAAGGAAUUGGUGAGUUGAUGAUUUUGAACAGAGCUAAUCUGGAAGUAGAGGGGUUGUUUGUGAAGAACUACCUUCAGCAACUGUGAGUGAAAAGUGAGUCCUGUGUGGGGACCUGCUGAAAUGAAAUGGUUGUCAUCUAAUGGCAUCAAGAAGUCAGUGCAGAACUCUGGGCCUGGAACCACAGAAUUGGCAAAAGAUCACUAAGGUGCUUGAUGGGAUUGUUUGCUUGGCCUUGAGACUGGAGGCGUCAUGGAGUGAUGCUAGAUGGAGGAAAGAAGUCUGUGUCGGUACAACAAAGUGUGGAGCGAUAGCAGUAGGACCGAGCUGAUGGUGACUGCAGGCUUGGCUUGGUGCUGGGAUGCUGCCAGCUCUCUUAAUGAGCUCCAACUGGGAAGUGGGGUGUCAGGACAUGUUGUGGAUGUGGGAGGCAAUACUGGUUUAUGGUGUUACCUAAGCUGCUCUUCUCUGCUCCUGUAGAUUACUGUUCUGACAUCAAAGCUCGGUGCUCCAUCGCUGCAGUUGUGUUGAUGGAUGCUGAGCGCGCGCUCUGAGCAGGAGACCGCUCUGCUCAGUCAGUAGAGCACUCUUUCCCACACCUCAGUUUUUGAGACAGGGCCCAGUGCAGACCCGACUACGAUCCUUCAAAAUAGAAGGGAGCUGUUGUAUGUUGUAGAACAUAAACCUUCCAAGCCCAUGUUGCUACAGAAACAGUUAUUUUAUUCACUUCUAUUCCAACAGUGUAAGUGGGUUUUCACACGUCACAUCAGUGCCUCACAUCAAGGGCUUAAGUAACGAGAAACUAAUCACAAGUUAUUAAUGAAAAAGGCUUCAGGAAUUUCAUCCUUUUGAAAAUCUAAGGCACAGAUAGGGGGCAAAAUCUCAAAGGCAUAUUGUUAAACAUUUACCGCAAGAUGCUAUUAGCUGUAGACUCAUUAGCUUGUCACAAUUUAACAAAACUAUUUCUACAGCAAAUAUGAAGCAGGCUUUGUCCUUUGUUUACAACUUGACAAGGAAAAAAUUAGGCAACAGCAUGUGGCCUAUAAUUACAGACUUUGUUAAACAAGAGGUCUGGUUGUUCAGGCAGCCUGUUCUGAUGCUUCUCAACUUCUUACUGUUUCAUUUUGUAGAGUUACAAUAGAGAUGAGCUGAACUUGAUUUUCUGCAAAUGUUUCUUCUGAGCAUCAAACAUUUCUCACUUUCAUUUCAUGGGUCGAAACAAUGCAAUUAAAACAAUGGGCUUAAUGACAGAGCAAGUCUUGCUUCAUCCCCCACUCCUUUCCGUGGUAGCUCCAGUACUUCACAAGUUACUCCUAAUGCUGGCAGAGAAGCUGAUGUUUACAGCUCAGUCUGACGCUUUUUGAAUACAGUCUUCGGUCUUCUCUAGCAAAUUAGAACCAGAUGGGAACGGUAGGGAGCAGAAUGGAAUUCAAUUCUGUUUUGUGGCUUGUGAUGUUAACAAAACUCUUAGGUUUUUUGAAUUGUUAUUUUGGCAAGAAAAUGGCUGGUAAUCCUUCUGGUCCAGUCACUGUAAUGUGCAGUUUCCUUCCAGUGCAUUGGGCUGUAUGCACUCACUGCGAUGUGUUGCUUUGCUUCCACCAAAGUGGUGGACUGCGGUAUGAGCAUAUUAGAGAUUCUUUUUUUUCCAAGUAAAAGGAUCAAAAAACAGUACAUCCUGACAGGAAAGUGUUUUCUCUGCUCAUCUGGCACUGCUAAUUCUGAAGCAAAAUGCCUUUUCCAGCUCUUUUGUCCUUUUCUCCCUACGCUGCCCUAACUGAAAGUACCUGAAGUAGUAGAGGAAUACAUAGUGGCGUUUGAUGAGGGAGAUGGACUAGGUCACGCCAAACUGAAAUGGUCACGGGCUCUUCAGCACAAACAGGAAAAGGACUUUUUCAUGUAGCUACUGCUGUGCUGCUUAUGCUGGUUGGUGCACUCUCAGGAAGAGAUGCAAUCUGGUGAAUCACAGAAAUGACACUUCCUGUUGGGCUGUGGGGAUUUUCUUACAGCUUUCCUGUGUAGCCACCGGAGCUGGUUUUGUGUAGCCUGUGUGCCCAGACAAGGGCUGCUCAGAGACAGAAGCCAAACAGUUAUACAUAGAGUGUAAUAGUUUCUGACUCAAAGUGUGUGAUAAUUGCAAAAAUAUUGUAGGGUGUGGUAGGAAGUGCUGUGUCUAAUAUUGCUGAAUAGCUGUCACUUCGUAAUUUGCCUAAAAGAACACAGUAUGCUAACUCUAAUUAACGUACAGAGGUGGGGGAAAGCUUUGCUUUUCCCUCAUCAUAUGGAACCUGUUAAUGUGCAAGAAGUUGUUCCAAUACGCUGGAGUUGUAUUGAUUUUUCUUCCAGUUGUUCAAUCUUAAACUCCAUUAUUUCUGAUUUCCUACAGAAAGAGAGUCUGCAUGCAGGAGAGAAAGUUAUAGCUUCAGAAAGGUUACUUGGGGCAGUGAGUAUUGGAAGCAGUGGUAAAACCUCAAAUUACUAUCAGAUUUCACUCGGAAUUGAAAAUAUGUAAUGAAAAAGCAUAGUUUAAAAUAGUCUGUAUCAAUUGACUAUUGUGAAAUACAUAGCUGGUUUUAAACAGUUAUUCUUAGAAAUAUUCCUAACAGUUUCUUACAAUACUGUAUUCCAGUGUCAAAAACAAGACUGAUGCUGUUACCCAGCACACACUCGAGGAGAAUUUAUGUAUAUCCUGCUGCUUUGGUGAUUUUCUUAAUAAACUGAGUGUCACAACUUCAAGAGGUGGACAGACAGGAGAGAGGGUGGUCAUGCUUUCAGGCAGAUAACUUCAAUGCAUGAGAUCUUCAAGAAGAACAAACAUAACUGACACUAUUUUUCAUAGUAAUCCACUCAAUUAAAUCUUGCACUUCUGUAAAGCAGUGGCAUGCUCUGCAGUGCUUAGAAAUAUCAGCCUGCUGCUUUCUGGGAAGCAUAUUCCCCCGGGGCUUAAGUUCAGGGCUGAGUCUAAAGACUCUUAAUGCCUUUAUUGUGCUGUCUCUAUGAUACAACGCAGGCGUUUGUGAUGGAAAUAUUUCUGUGGUCAAGUGGAAGUUCUUUUUUUUUUUUUUGGGUGGUCUGUUAGAUAAAUGGGAAUGCUUUUGAUACGAAUACAGAAGCUUUCUGAAUGUGGAAUAAUGAAAUGAUGCAUUACUCCUGCAUGCAAUUUUGUUACUUCUUACCUGGUGUUGUCUUUUUACCCCAGUGCAAGGUGUGAGCUCUGGAAGAAGAAUCCUUCCUCUCCCAUGUUUUAACCUUUGCUGUACUUGCUCCAGUCCUUAUACAGCAAACUGUUUAUUGUGGUGGACUGUGUUCUGGUGCACCUUCGAGGAAGUGAAAGAGUUAAUGCAGGAUUUGGAUUAGAGGACCGCCUAGAUUUCUCAGUGUAGUAUCUUACAUUCAGCUUCCAAAAGAGACUGUUUCAUAGGAUAAUCUGUGUUUCCCAGUGUUUUGAACCUAAGUGUUGCCACUGCCCUUUGAGUUGUCAUUUCUGGGCUCAGGUGAUCCUAAAACAUGAGCUAGUAUGUAAAGCUCUGCUUGAAAUGCAGUCCUCACACCAUUUUCAGUAAGCAGAACUAAUGCUUCCAUUCCUAAAUGAAGUUCUUGUUUGGAUAAAAAGGGCUAUAUGUUUUAAUUAGAUACAACUAAGGUCCAUGUACCUCGUUUCAGAUACUGAGAUUUUUUUCACAUAUUUUUAAAUGAAAAUAUUCCUUACUGCUGAAUGACAGCCAUGUAAACUGCUGCUAGACUGUGUGAGUAUUUGUUCAAGGAAAAGCAUGUUUUCAGAGUGUGGUUUUCGGACUUCCAGACUGAUUACACAAGCUCAAGAAGGCCCACCCCACAUCCUGUGUAGAAAGCCAGUUCACAGAAAUGCCCAUUGUUCAUCAGGAUUAUAAGUCACUGUACUUUCUGCCCGGUCCCUUUUUCAAAGCACUAUAUAGAAAAUCUUAAUGUAAAUGAACUCCAGCAGCUUAACAAGUGCUUGGUCCUGCCAGGUACUGAGCACUCUGCUCAUACUGAAAUGGAGGGAGGGGGGAAUAAACACACUGGCCUCUCUGGCUAGAAAACAAAGGUGUUGUGUUGAUUAAAAACAGCUGAGGAUGUUCUAUUCUGUGAAUCAAUUGAUAAUUUACGUACUUUGAGCCUGAAAGUUGCAGCAGCCAUGCCGGUAUUUACUUUCUUGGGGAGAAGAGAGGAGUUACAAGGAAUGCAGUUUGCUGCAAGCCUGGUAAAUUUGUCUUGGCAGUGCUUCCUCCCUGCUCACUUGCUAAUGUAAAAGGAGGAUGGGGUGUCUGGGUCUCAUAUCCCACAGUGCUGAGAUCUGUGCUGUUCUACCUACGAGUUAACUGGGCCUACCCAUGAAGAAGGAAGCUAUUGAGUACUCACAGUACUCACUCAGCCUUUUUUUUUUUCCCUGCUUCCCCUAAGCUAUCAUCUUGGAGAAUAUAUUUUUAAAAGGUGAGGUGCAGUUUGUCAUGUAACAUUUUCUAACAGGAAAAAGUGUUUCAAGAUGAAUUUUAAAUCUUAUUCAGUGUGUGUGUGUGUGUGUGUGUGUGUGUGUGUGUAUACAUACAUAUAUAUACACACUGAAUAAAAACACCAAGCACUGAUGUUGCUUGGUAGAGUUCAGUAUGUGUUUAAGACCAAAAUAUCAGUUACAAUGCUGUUGAGCACAGGCCUGCCAGGGGAAUAUUCAAGACUGUAUUUUGCUUUACAGCGGUCCUCUGAAAGGAAUCACCUCUCUCCAGUUGCUGCCAGUCUCCUGACUGUUCAGCAUUCCCCAAACAUGUGGCCCAUAAAAUGGGAUUAUAAGGGAAGGCAUUCAAGUAAGCAGAAGUUCCCUCAGGACAAGAUUUGCUUUCUCAUGUGGAGCUGCUGCAUGCUGCAGCCUGGCUGCUGCUGGCCCCAUCCCUGGCCAGGGCCUGGCACUGCUCCUCCAAGUGAGCCAGCUCUGACGCUGGCAGGGUGUACAGCCUGCCCCUGUCCUGGGGUAUACAGUGUUCUCCUGAAUAGCUGGCACAGCAGACCCCCUUCGCUGUACUUUUGGAAGGGCUCACCUGAUUACGAGUAAGGGGAACUCACCAUUUCUGUGUCUUUUCUGUGUCUGCACGUAGUAGGAAAUGACUGGUCCCGUGGCAUGGAGCUAGCUGCCAAAAAUCUGCAGUGGGCUAUAUCCAGCAGUGACUGUACAGUACUGCUGAAGUGGCCCAGUGUGUUCAUGCAGUAUGUUCCUGGAUAAGUGGCUGGGUUUUUUUUACAUGUGUUUCUUCGAACAGCAGUUAUAUUGGUGGGUAAUAAGGUGAUUAUCUCAGUGAUUGUGUGGUCCUGUCCAGCCUGUUUGUUGAAAGUGCUCAUCCUCAACUUCAGUCUGUAGUUUGAUCGCUCUCGGGUUCUCUGUUGAGUCAAAACAUUACAUCAGCCUCAGUGAGGAGCAUUCCCAGUCCUGCUCCCUCAUGGUCUGCAGCUGGUGCUGGCCCUGCCAAUUCACUCUGUGGUUGCUGCUUAGCAGGAUUAUGCAGCAUGAGAUAUAUCAAGGUACAGAACCUUCAGACUUUGUUCCUUUCAGCGUAUUUUCUUUCACAUUUAAAAAUAAAACCAUGAAUCUCAAGUGUCUUUUGUCCUUCUUUCUGGCCAGGGGAUGUUAGUUGUCACCCCGGCAAUGGUUCUGGUGGUAGAAGUCACCUUGUGCUGAUAGCGAGACUUCAGAAUCUGAUGGCCUUGUGUCAGCUUCUAGAGGUACCACUUUGUACGACAGUGUGGAGACUUCAGUCCUCAGAGGCUACAGCCAGAAAUGCUCCUUAAGACAAUAGGAGUUCAUCAGUUCACAUACGUGUGCUCCAGGCUGGCUGGGGUCACGUUGCUGAUGACCGUUAGUGGGGAGUGUUGAUUUCAUGGUCUGCGUAGGACAGAAUGCAGACUCGUGCCUCGGAGACUCAGCGUGGUUAUGUGUUUUUUCCAUUACCUUUCUUCAGGGGUGACUCUGAAGAGAAACUGUUACACUCAUUGCAGUUGGCCUUAGUGUGAAGCUUUGAACAAAUUCAGCAGUAAGAAUUCUGUUUUCUGAAGAAACCGAAGCCUGCAACUCUGCUUUCUCAUUCUGUACUGAGCGGCCCUGUGAGCAGAGAAACCAGCCCAGUUCCUGCCCUGCUCAGAAGUGGUGAUUUCAUGCACCUGCGUACACCCUACAUUAGUCUAAGCAAAGAAUUAUUUGAAGUUAAAAAUAGCUGUUCCAUUUUGCUUGUUGGUAGAAUGGGUUAACUUCUUUCCAAAACAUUCAGAAUGCGUAAUGCAUUUAUGAAAUCAAAAGUGGUACAUUCAGGGCCUAUAACUCACACCACAGACGACUGUGGGGUUGCCAGGAGUGACCGCACUCAGGAGUAAUGUCGGUGUCACAGGUGGGCAAAGCUCACGUAUCUGGAGGGUCCCGUUUGCUACGCUGGUGGGUAUGGGGUGCGUGAGAGAGCAGGCUGCCUUGGGUUAUGCUAGUCUACAGAUGGGACUACUGAUUAUUCUAGACCUUGAAUUCUCUUCCAGGUUGGAACUUUUUUGGAAGGCCUGUGGCUUCUGGGUGUUCUGUACUGAAGUCUAUUUAAAGCUGAGAGCUGCUUGUUUCUCAUUGUAUCUUCUAUAUAAACCAGUCACAUAUUCAUUAUAUUUCAAAUGUACGAGUGUUAAAAAACAGGAUUGUUAGAUCAGAUUUUCCAAAGUUUGAGGAGAUUAAUUAUAUUUUUAAUACAUCCAGGUUUAUAGGAUCUGCUGAAUUAUGAGGGAGAGUAAUGACACAAUUACUGUAUUUUCCAAACAUGAGGUAGAACAUAUAGAUCCAACAUCAGGGAACUGAAAACGUCUUGUGAAUAAUAACAGCAACACCUGCUUGUAUUUCACUUCAUAAUUUCUGUGUGGGGUCGUUCACGUUGUAGAAAAUGAGGUUUUAUGAACAAGCUUUUGAGGGCAAUGGUACGUUGCUAAGGCUGCAGUGUUUUAUGUUAUGCUGAGUGGAUUCUGUCUUGUAAAUCAAAGGAGACACAUAUCCAUGACCUCAGCUCCAAGUUCUGCAGUUAGCAUUGAUUUAAAUUAACAUGGUUUCUAUGGGAAAGAGCUUUUUAGAAAUCUUGGAAAAUUGGAGGUGUAUUCAGUGGAGGGCACGUGGCAGUGGAGCCCCGACUCUGGCUGCUGAGAGCUGCCCAUUUGGCUUCAGCAGGUUGUGCACUAUUAAACCUAACUGAAACCUGCAGAUGGGGCAUGCUGCUGAGUUAAGUGGAAUCAACAUAAUUGCUUGGUAAUAACGAGUUGUAAGCCAAGCAGAUAUCCUUACGGGAGUCUUUACCAAUUCAUUUCAACCUGUUCAGUAAUGUAGUGCAUCAUUUAAUGAUUCAGCAAAGUCGAUUGUGUUUCCCUGGUUAAUGCAAGCUUCCUUUCCUCCCCAGUUCACCUAGAUUGUGGCACUGGCAGUCAGGUGAGAGCGCUCAACUGAGCAUGCUGAUUAAGCAGAAAACUGAUCACUUUCCUUAUAGCAGCCAGUUGAUGCUUUUUAGCUCUGAAUUGGCUUCUCGUGGGGGUCACGUGAGUGCCAGGGCUAGUGCAAGUGAAGCAGGAUGGGGAACCUGCUGCUUUGUCAGCAGUCAGUGGUCAGAUUUUGUUUCACAGUUUUAUUGCUAAGUUUUACACAGCUCUCUGGAAAGCUGAGGACGUUGAAGGCGUUGCCUCCCAGCAGCUGAGUGCUGUGCUCUUGUAGGUACUGCUGCUCAGUUUCUCAGCUGCUCGGCCCAAAGGAGGGAACAGGCAGGGAACACAAAUGUGACUGAUUUCUUGCUUCAGGGAUCUGCCUAGAAAUUUCUAGGGUUGAUGUGGAGAAGUCUUACCAAUCAAGUGUGGUGCAGAUGAUCCUAUUUGUAUGUUUUCAUUCAGAUGAGAUGACACUGGUGCCACUUGUGUCUAGGCAAGUCUUGGUACAGGUUUGGACAGGUUUGUUUAGGCACACAAGCCAUCCUGAAGGAGAUUGGAGGCAUUCAGUGCAUUGCUCUGUAAAACAGAGUAGUAGUUAAAAAUAAAUAAAUAAAUAAAAUGCAAAAAGUGCUGGUUAAUAUCAGUGGCAAUGAACUAGUGUAACUCAGCAUGCAAAUCCCAGCCAGUUUUAUCUGGGUCAUUAGGCUGGUGUCAAAGUACUGAAAUCAGUUUUUAGACUGAGUAAGACAUUAGGAGGUCACCAUCACCUUGGAAAAAACCUUCAUUUUCCAUGUGAAGUUGAAAGGCCCUGAGCACCCUCUCUGAGGACUGGAUUUUACUGUUACAAGUGACACUAGAGAUUACUAAAACUGGAAGAAGUCAGAUGAACCAAACACUAUUUCAUUUUCUGUUUAGUGCAGUCGUUAGUGUUCUUGGCAGUGUUUCCUAUGUAUUCAGUUUCAGUGGGUUUUUAUGCUUGGUUGUGCUUCCUGUCUUAUAUAUUAGCAUAAUGAUGUCAUUCUUGUAUACCGCUGUGGGGGAGCAUGGUUGUAUGUUCUUCCUCAACCUCUGCAGGAAAGGCCUGGCCCUCAUGUGAGAUGACUUUGGUUCUACUUGGAUGUUUGAAAUCCACGUGGGAGGGUCCCCUGUUUUGUGAGCCUCUGUAUGGAAAUGUGGAGCAGAGCAGGAGGAGCGGGCAACAGGAUUUCAUGCUUUCUUCUGUAGGAGAGACUUGUAGGAUCGUCCAUCUUCAACUCCUGUCAGUGAGCAGCUGGAACCUUUGUGACCCCGUGUUGAGCUGUGGAAAGGCAGGAAUGGGCAGGGAAGCCACCUACCUCUGGAGCAAACAAAGCAAUGCAACCUCAGAGCAGGAGCGUCAGCCACAUCCUUGCUCCUUUGGCUGGGCACUGAGUGUGAGAGGAACCUACUGAGAAGGCCCCAUCUGCAUGGUGUUCUUUGGUGACCAGGAGAGCAGCAGGCACUGAGCAGAAUGUGUGAUUUGUUCUUCUGGCAUGUCCUAAGGAGGCAGCAAGUGUGGGAGUGGUUUUUCCAUGGGGAUAUCUCUGGGAGCAGGCAGGUCCCAGCACAUCUGGGCAGGUAGGCUUGGGCCUGCUGCUCUUGCUGUGGCCUGAAGCGCACAGCAUGCGCCAGCCUGGGCUGUACAACAGGAGCAGUCAUUAUGCAGAAAGCUUGAAAUGAUAGAAAUCUGCAUAUUAAGAUGACUUUGGAAACACUUCUGGAAGACUUUGUCCCUUUAAAUCUCGUUGGAAGGGUCUCUUCCAGUGUGAGUCAUUUGCAGCUGUAGAGGACCCCGGGCAGAGCCUUCCUCUUCUCUACUGAAUAGGGUUGUCAGAGCUCCCAGGGUCAGCGUGGGGAGAAAAAUACCCUGAUUCAUUUCCCAACCAGAUAUGCAUAGGAGAACUCCCAUAGGGCUGCUGCUGCGGGGGUUGUGGCUUUGGUUUUCCAGUCGCUCUGCUCUACAUAAGCGACAUGCAGCUCCAAGGUCCCACCCAGAGGACUGAAACACCCCAGAGCCCGUCCCCAGGCAGCACACAAUGGUGUUGAUAUGACUCUUGCUACAGAGGAAGUGGCUUCUGUUAUAACCAGAGAGCAAUCUGCCAAAGUCCACAGUCUGGGCAGUUGCCAAGCUGAGUUUGACAAAAAUAUUUAACUUUGACUUUCAUCUUAGCUUUUUCUCAAGAUAAUUCUCCUACUUCCUACCAUUGAAAUCUCACCUAUGCUAGGAUUUUUAUUUUUACGUAAACUAAUCUAUGCUUUUACUCAGAGAAAGUAAUAUACAACAGAUUAAAAUCUUUAACAGAUCAUGAAAAUAGUCUAAAAUGUUGUCAGUACAAUAACAAAACUGGUGUUAGGCUCUAUGCAGCUCAGGGCGUUGCUCAGGGUUUUUUUGUGCCCUCUCCUGUUCCUGCUCAGAGCAGUCUGUUCUUGAUCUGAAUUAGACACUGGAAAUACUACAGAGGUACUGUAGCAGAGAAGACAGGGUGUGAAAACCUUGGGAUAUUUGAGGCCUCAGGCGCCCCCUUGUGCCCUUUCUUUUUUGUGUUGCAGUGCCAGCAAAUGCAAGGGACACAGGCUGCACAAAACAGCUGAGCCUCAGCUGCAUCAUUGCGUGGGGCCUGCGGGGUGCUCUGGCACUUGCAUCGUGCUCAGUGAUAGUUUGGAUGUGUAGGAGUUGCUUGUUGAUAAGUAACACAAAGUUCACCCCAACUAUACAAUGUGCUUAUUGAGAAGUUUUGAACGUACAAAAGCUAUUAUUCUCUUCUAAAAGACAAGAGUAAGGUUUUGGAUUCAUUUAAAGAUGGUAAGAUUUGUGGGUUAUAAAUUUUGUCUGGUGGGCCUGAUUUUAAGUUGGGUUUUGAACCUCCCUGAUUCUUAAGAAUACUAUGCAAGCUUAGAUUUCUUCCUGUCUACUCCAUACUGUUUUCAGUCAUCCAUCUCAGGACACGGAGAAGAUGGAGUUCUUGAACACCUUUGUUGCUACAGUCUUCUACACCUUAGGCUGCCCCUUGAAAAUCUCAGGCCCUGGAGAUAGGAAGGAGAGUGGGGAAAAGAAUACUUCCCUUGAUCAAGGAAGAUCUGGUCAGGGAUCAUGUAGGCAAAAUUGCUGCACACAAAUCCACAGGCUCUGAUGAGAUGCACCCAUGAAUGCUGAGGGAGCUGGCAGAGGUGAUUGCCAGGCUGCUCUCUAUCAACUUGGAAAGGUCAUGGCAAACAGGAGAGGUGCCUGUGAACUGGAGGAGUGCCAUUGUCAGUCUGGAUGUCAUUUACAAACAAGUGAAAGAAGAGGAGGUUAUCCAGAGUAGUCAGCUUGGAUUCACCAAGGGCAGAUCACACUUGACUAAUUUGGUAGCCUUCUGUGAUGUCAUGGCUGGCAGGGUAGAGGUAGGGAGAGCAGUGAACAUUAUGAACCUUGACUUCAGCAAGGCUUUUGACACUGUCUUCCAUAACGUCCCCGUGAGUUAGGUUAGCUUAGGAGAUGUGGGAUAGGUGAGUGGACAAUGGAGUGAAUUGAGAACUGUCUGACUGGCGGUGCCCAGAGGGUUGUGGUCAGUGGUACAGAGUCUGGUUGGAGGCCUGCAGUGUUCCCCAGGGGCCAGUACAGGAUCUGUUCUUGUUCAACAUCAGUGACCUAGAUGAAGGGAUAGAAGGCCUUCUCUGCAAGUUUGCAGAUGAUAGAAAGCUGGGAGGAGUGGCUGACACACCAGAAUGCUGUGUUGCCAUUCAUUCAGCAAGACCUGAACAGGCUUGAGAGUUGGGUGGAGAUGAACCUGAUGAGGUUCAACAAGGGCAAGUGCAGAGACCUACACCUGAGGAGGAAUAACCAUAUGCAUGAGUACAGGCAAGGGGGUGACCUGCUGGAAAGGAGCUCUGUAGAGAAGGACCUGAGUGUCAGCAGGUUGUCCAUGAGCCAGCAGUGUGCCCUUGUAGCCAAGAAGGCCAAUGGUAUCUGAAAAGAGUGUGGCCAGCAAGUUGAGGGAGGUGAUCCUCCCCCUCUACUCUGCCCUGGUGAGUCCACAUCUGAAGUACUGUGUCCAGUUCUGGGCUCCCCAGUUCAAGAAAGACGGGGAACUGCUGGAGAGAGUCCAGCAGAGGCCACAAAGAUUAUUGAGGGCCUGGAGCAUCUGCUGUAUGAGGAGAGGCUGAGAGACCUGGGGCUAUUGAGCCAGGAGAAGAGAAGGCUAAAGAGGGAUCUUGUCAAUGCUUAUGAAUAUUUAAUAGACAGCAGUCAAGUGGAUGGGGCCCAGUGGCAGAAGAAGGAGCAACUUGCAGAUAAUUUUAUGAUGCAAAAGCAACUGAGCAUAAUCGAUACAGUGUGUUCUUUGGGGAUUCAAGAUGUUGCUUAUUUCUGUUGGACUAACCCUGAGAAGUUUUAGACUGGGCCACCUGCCAUUCUGUGGUGGCAAUUCUAGCUAAAGAGCAGUUUCUAUCAAUGUACUUCUCCUGAGUUUGUUUCAUGUAGCAGUAACUAGAAUAUAAAGCAAUAGUGACCAUGGUAUACUUAGCCAGGUUCCAUCUACUUCAGUAUCCCAUCUCCAGCAGACACUGUAACCUUAAUAAAAGCCUAAGAACAGCAAACAUUGGACAGAUUGCUGUGCAAGAUUGUCUAGUCUUCACAACAUCUUUUGGCAAGGAGUUCAGGAAAUCAGCUGACCCCUGGGGGAGGAGCCACCUCUUUUUCUUUGUGUUGAACUGCCUGUUAUCUUCACUGGGUGUUACCUCAGCCUUCAAUCGGAAGAAGAAUGAACAGUGACCAUCCAAGGUGCUCGGGAUUUUACAGUCUUCUGUUAUAUCCUUCCAGUUGUCUCUUUUUUCAGUCUGAAAAGUCCUGUCUUAUUUAAUGGAAAUUGUAUCAUAUCUGUAAAUAAUACAAUCUGUAAAUCAAAAAUAAAAAUCCCGACAGUUGCUUUGAGUCUUGAAUUUCUACUGGGGAUUGAAUUGAUGCUUUAGGAACUUCCUAUCAUAACUUCAGUGUUUUACUUCUGAGUGCUAAUGGUCAGCUCUGAAUACAUGCAGGAGCAGGUAUGUGCAAAGUUAGAAUUGCUUUUUCUGCCUAUACAUCAUUUUACACUUACCUACAUUGAAUCCUACUUGCUAUUUUAUGACCAGUUAAUUCCUGUUCAAUCUGUUGCCCCUCAUGCUCACCACACUGAAUAUCACUAAACUAUCAUAAUCUUGUCCACCCCCUUUUCCUAGUAUGCUGAACCUGACAGCUCUACCACAAGUCUGAGGAGCUGUGCUAGUGAACUUUGUCUACUGAGAGCACCUUGACCAGAAAGAAGAGACUUCAGACAGCUCUUCUACCCUGCAAGGACCUUUCCUUAAAAGCCUUGUUGAGGAACACGGUUGGAAGCUUGCUGGCAACUCAGCUAUGUUUAUCAACCAAACCAUCCUCAUCCAUGGACCUUCUGAGCCCUUCAAAGAAGCUGGAUUGGUACUUAAUGCAGACAGUCUUGGUUCUUCCAAGGUGUCUCAUGUUUAAUAAUAGAUGUUUAAUAAUUUUAUUCCUUGUUAAAGUUUAUACUACUCGCUGAUAGGUGAAGUACCAGAGAUGAUGAAAGAAACAGGUUUUUUGAGUAGUUAGACCUCUUGAGAAGUGCUGAGUGAAGCACUUUAAAAGGCAGUGCAAUUUGAAUGGUUUGCAUAGCUGAGAUAGCUAAUGUAAAUGGAUUCGGUAACAAAUCUUAGCAAAAUCAGCCAUUCCCCAGCACAGGCUGUUGUCACUAAUAAUUGGAGCAAAGUGUGUGGAUAUAAUCGUUCUUUCAUUGUUACCUACUGUAAAAUAACAGCAAAAGGCUCCUUGUGGCUGCACAGUGUAACCACUUUGAAAACCUGACGGUGUCAAGUCUGAUGCAGCUGUUGAUAAGAGAUCAUUUGCAGAUUUACUCCAGAAUUGUCCAGUGAAAGACAAAAUAAGAGGUGAAAAAAUUCUCCAACAAAUCCAGCAACUUGGAAAUAAUUACCUUCUUUAUGUUACAAGUCAUCAGAAUUAUUGCUCAGUGAAUAAUGCAGGGACAGUUUCCAGAAGAGUAGCAGGUUAACAGAUGUUUCAUAAAACAUAAGAAUGCGUUUAUUAACAAAGGCCUGUUAGAUCUGUGCAUGCACGGCUUGUGUAAGAACUCACAUUGGUGAGGUACAAGGGCUACACAGUUUGUAAACAAAUUAAUUCAAAAUUGAUGCAUUGUACCUCAUUCAGUGGUUGUUUUGCUUUGUGUGUGUGUGUAUGCUUCUCUAUACUACCCAGGAGUAAGUGUGACACAAUUAAAAGCAGCAUAUCUUGCAUUUACGGGAAGAAGGAAGAGUUGAGAGUGUGUACAUAAAUAUUCCCUGCAGAGCUGCUGGUUUGUGGUAACUACUUUGUAUGUCAGUCCUUAUUCUGCAUUGCAGUGGUUAACUCUUGCCUUUAAAAAAAGAAGACACAUUUGAAUUCAUAUACCUUCUAGAUGUGUCCAGGGGCCAACUCUGAGCUCUGACUAUUGCCACAUUGUGCUGUUGCAUGCAAGAUUAUCUUUCCAGAUAAGCAUGAUAAGUGUUCAAAUGAAUCUAUCAAUAAUCAGUGGAGAGGAUGUUAUAAUACUAAGUCUGUUACUGUAAAAAUGAUAAAAGUCUUUGAAAACAUGCUUGGAAAGGAAUUGCUUUGUUUGUAAUCUGGCUGCAGGUCUGGCAGCAGCAGCUCGUGAAGAGGUGUGGGGACGAGCUGAAUAGAUUCCCUGUUGGCCAACAGAGCUGGGAGGCUGCAUCCUACUAAUAGGAGACUGACUACUCAUUUUUGAAUCCCUUUGGUUAAAGGAAGGAAAAUGGUUUUUGGCCUUUUUUUUUUUUCUUUUUUUUCCUAAUGAAACAUCAGGAGGUAAAAGCCAUUCUUAAGAGGAAAGAACAGCCUACUGGAAAUAAAAGUUCUUCAAUGUCAGAUGGAAUACAGUGUCAGG